CUGUGGUUGGACCCUCCUGUCUGUCCCAUAAAAUCUUAAGGUUCAACAGUGACAGUGACCUUCCUUUAAAGGGCUGCAGCAGCCAUUGAAGACUUUCUCUCAAUUCACUCUACUCAGAAAACCAUCUGAGGUGUGGCCCUCUGAGUCAAGCAAACCUGAUUUGUACUUCUUCAGGGUAAAAACUCUUUGCUUUCCCAGUCCCCAUCCUGCUGUCCAUCCACUUGAGAACGGGGGGAAGAGAAGCAGUCAUUGAAGACAGAGCCCAGUGGAUUGGAUUUUGGAGGAGCUGAGGUUUUUCCUGUCAGAGAUCCAUGAUGGGGAUAUUUUUCCUGGAUGUCCCAAAGGGAAGGAGCAACUUUGAAGUUGUUGCAGCCACAUGCUGUGGAUGCAUCCCCUGAAAACCAGUUCAGGAUUGUUCAUCUGACUCUGACCCUGAUCAGUGGCUUCCAGGGAGUCUUCUGGUGUUCUGAAUAUUCCCAGGAGAAAGAUAUUCCAGCACCUGCUUUUUAAGCCAGGAAUUCCACACCCAGGACCACAAAGACCUUCUGGACUUUGUUAUCUCAUCCCAUGGCAAAGAACACCUCCAAAACUGCCUCGUCACCUUUAUGGAAUGACAAUGGAUGUUGGGAGCUCUGGCAGAAGCACCUGGAGACCAGACUGUCUUCCUCUUGGUGCCUGGCCUGUCGCCACAAUCCCUGGGGACUGCUGGAAGCCUGGACACUGGAACCUGGGCUGCUGGAGGGCUACAGCAGACCAGUAAAGCCAGGCCAUCACCAGCAGGGUAGCAUCUCCCCAGCAGCCCCACCAGGACUUCCCUUACCGAGCCGCUGUGUGAGAGGACUGAGGAGGAGAAAGGAGGACACAAGAAGAGCCCCAGGAUGAAGGGGAUGGAGGACGAUGGUGCCUGGGGAGACAUCAGGCAGUACAGCAGGGAGUGGGGAGUGGAGA
This is a long non-coding RNA of Poecile atricapillus (Black-capped chickadee), 948 nucleotides long. RefSeq lists it as uncharacterized. The record is from RefSeq and is a predicted model, not a curated record. NCBI's taxonomy places the organism in Eukaryota, Metazoa, Chordata, Aves, Passeriformes, Paridae. The transcript has 5 exons.